This 986-nucleotide long non-coding RNA is filed under the name Heterocephalus glaber (naked mole-rat). Its description in RNAcentral is "lncRNA (ENSHGLG00100050580.1)". The record is from RNAcentral. Lineage: Eukaryota; Metazoa; Chordata; Mammalia; Rodentia; Bathyergidae.
AGAUUUAUAAGAAGACUUAGAUGAAGAAUUCCCACUGCUCUCAGUCAAGUUCCUCCCACCUAAUAUAACUGCUCUACUCCAGCGCAUUAUAGCUAACUUUAAGAAGCUAUACACCAAGGAACUAUUCAUGAAGUGCUUCCAGACGGUCUCAGAUACAGAUUUCUUUAAUCCUUAAAGAGUUAUGUAAGGAACAUUAAAACAUCCUUUCUUAUGUGAGAUUACUUGAGAGAUCCUGGGCCAACAUUUCUCUAAAGACACUGAGAUUGGCUCAACUGAAAGUGUGGCCUAAAAUUAUACAGGAGAGAGACUCUGAAGGCUAUAUAGAGGAGCCUGAGUCUUCAAUUGACCAUGUGGUUGAUCACAUUGUCACUAUAACAGAGACCAUAGGCUUGCAGGUAGACAAUAGUGAUGUUGAGGAACUGGUGGAGGAACACUCAGAGGAAUUGUUUUCAGAGGAACUUCAACAACUUCUGGCUGAGCAACAGAGAAUGACAUCUGAGGAGCUUUUUGACAAGGAGGGGGAGUAUCAACAAUCAGUGCAUCAAAGUUCUUCUUCCGAAAUAAAGGAAAUCCUGAAAAAAAAAUGGAAAACAGCUACAGACAUUUGUAUGGGAGACUGACCCAGACAGAAAAAAGCCAAUCUUUGCAUUCACUUGCUUAAUGACAAUGUCAUUUCAUACUACAGAACAGGGUUAAAGACAGAAACAAACAACCUUAGGCCAGUUUUUACUUCUGAAAAGGUUGAAACCUAGUGAGCCAGAAAUGGGUCCUAGUGGGAUACAAACUCUCCUAAGGAGAGAAAGGACACCAAAGAGCCAGAUUCCUGAUGUUCUUAUAGAAGGGGCCUCUCCUUCCACACAACAGCCACCUUCCAUUCAUCCUCCCUUCCCUCAAGCCAAAGAUGUCAACUUGAAUGCUUACACAGCGAAUCAGCCCAUGCCCCGGAAACAAUCCAUUGGACACCCCAACCUCCUGCUCCUCUGUAC